This 701-nucleotide ribosomal RNA is filed under the name Streptomyces sp. RNAcentral describes it as "bacterial SSU rRNA". It matches the Rfam family "Bacterial small subunit ribosomal RNA", at positions 62 to 779 of the family's 1533-position model. The record is from RNAcentral. Lineage: Bacteria; Bacillati; Actinomycetota; Actinomycetes; Kitasatosporales; Streptomycetaceae.
UCGAACGAUGAACCACUUCGGUGGGGAUUAGUGGCGAACGGGUGAGUAACACGUGGGCAAUCUGCCCUGCACUCUGGGACAAGCCCUGGAAACGGGGUCUAAUACCGGAUACUGACCAUCAGGGGCAUCUUUGAUGGUCGAAAGCUCCGGCGGUGCAGGAUGAGCCCGCGGCCUAUCAGCUUGUUGGUGAGGUAAUGGCUCACCAAGGCGACGACGGGUAGCCGGCCUGAGAGGGCGACCGGCCACACUGGGACUGAGACACGGCCCAGACUCCUACGGGAGGCAGCAGUGGGGAAUAUUGCACAAUGGGCGAAAGCCUGAUGCAGCGACGCCGCGUGAGGGAUGACGGCCUUCGGGUUGUAAACCUCUUUCAGCAGGGAAGAAGCGAAAGUGACGGUACCUGCAGAAGAAGCGCCGGCUAACUACGUGCCAGCAGCCGCGGUAAUACGUAGGGCGCGAGCGUUGUCCGGAAUUAUUGGGCGUAAAGAGCUCGUAGGCGGCUUGUCGCGUCGGUUGUGAAAGCCCGGGGCUUAACCCCGGGUCUGCAGUCGAUACGGGCAGGCUAGAGUUCGGUAGGGGAGAUCGGAAUUCCUGGUGUAGCGGUGAAAUGCGCAGAUAUCAGGAGGAACACCGGUGGCGAAGGCGGAUCUCUGGGCCGAUACUGACGCUGAGGAGCGAAAGCGUGGGGAGCGAACAGGAUU